This 380-nucleotide unclassified non-coding RNA is filed under the name soil metagenome. Its description in RNAcentral is "partial contains 5.8S ribosomal RNA, internal transcribed spacer 2, and large subunit ribosomal RNA". The stretch from base 1 to 120 matches the Rfam family "5.8S ribosomal RNA", at positions 35 to 154 of the family's 154-position model. The record is from RNAcentral.
GAUGAAGAACGCAGCGAAAUGCGAUAAGUAAUGUGAAUUGCAGAAUUCAGUGAAUCAUCGAAUCUUUGAACGCACCUUGCACCCUUUGGCAUUCCGAAGGGUAUGCUCGUUUGAGUGUCAUUGUACUCUCACACUUCCAAUUCUUUGGAUUGGGAGCGGUGGACUUGGGUUUGCUGCUUUACUGUAGCUCACCUCAAAUGUGUUAGUGCAGCUCUUGGUUGGACAUAGUACGGCGUGAUAAGUAUCUUCGCCGGUGCCUCGCAAAGAGGGUGGCCGAUCGGGAUGUUGUGCUCCAAACUGUCUUCGGACAAUCUCUGACAACUUGACCUCAAAUCGAGUAAGACUACCCGCUGAACUUAAGCAUAUCAAUAAGCGGAGGA